This 20-nucleotide small nuclear RNA is filed under the name Arabidopsis thaliana (thale cress). Its description in RNAcentral is "snRNA_11360". Lineage: Eukaryota; Viridiplantae; Streptophyta; Magnoliopsida; Brassicales; Brassicaceae. The record is from RNAcentral.
UCUCUCUUCGUCUCUAGAAC